Regulatory RNA element from Peptoanaerobacter stomatis, 202 nucleotides. It matches the Rfam family "raiA RNA". Lineage: Bacteria; Bacillati; Bacillota; Clostridia; Peptostreptococcales; Filifactoraceae. The record is from Rfam.
UUUUGCAAGGUCUGUGGUUGCAAGUUCAUGCCAGAUGCAGGCGAAGGAAUCCACGUAAGCUAUACAAAAAUGAUAUAGUGAGCAUAGUGCAUCUUAGGUGUAAGUCCUGCCGUAAAUUACGAGAGAAUGAUUAGUGAGGCAAACCCAAGCAAAAGUUCCAGCAGGCGAGUGUGGGGGUAAAGACCAGUGUCAGCUUGCAAAA